This 431-nucleotide ribosomal RNA is filed under the name uncultured bacterium. RNAcentral's name for it is "partial 16S ribosomal RNA". It matches the Rfam family "Bacterial small subunit ribosomal RNA", at positions 338 to 795 of the family's 1533-position model. The record is from RNAcentral.
CCUACGGGAGGCUGCAGUGGGGAAUAUUGGACAAUGGGGGCAACCCUGAUCCAGCAAUGCCGCGUGGGUGAAGAAGGUCUUCGGAUUGUAAAGCCCUUUCGACGGGGAGGCGGUACCCGUAGAAGAAGCCCCGGCUAACUUCGUGCCAGCAGCCGCGGUAAUACGAAGGGGGCUAGCGUUGCUCGGAAUGACUGGGCGUAAAGGGCGCGUAGGCGGUUUGGACAGUCAGGCGUGAAAUUCCUGGGCUUAACCUGGGGGCUGCGCUUGAUACAUCUGGACUUGAGUGGGGAAGAGGGUCGUGGAAUUCCCAGUGUAGAGGUGAAAUUCGUAGAUAUUGGGAAGAACACCGGUGGCGAAGGCGGCGACCUGGUCUUACUGACGCUGAGGCGCGAAAGCGUGGGGAGCAAACAGGAUUAGAUACCCUUGUAGUC